RNAcentral lists this transfer RNA (76 nucleotides) under Nocardioides oleivorans. Its description in RNAcentral is "tRNA-Lys". It matches the Rfam family "tRNA". Rfam says of the family: Transfer RNA (tRNA) molecules are approximately 80 nucleotides in length. The record is from RNAcentral. RNAcentral also lists the same sequence under 1 other name. Lineage: Bacteria; Bacillati; Actinomycetota; Actinomycetes; Propionibacteriales; Nocardioidaceae.
GGGCCUCUAGCUCAAUUGGCAGAGCAGCGGACUUUUAAUCCGUUAGUUCAGGGUUCGAGUCCCUGGAGGCCUACCG